Molecule: ribosomal RNA, 440 nt
Filed under: uncultured bacterium
Lineage: Bacteria
Description: partial 16S ribosomal RNA
Rfam family: Bacterial small subunit ribosomal RNA
Source: RNAcentral
CCUACGGGAGGCAGCAGUGGGGGAUAUUGCACAAUGGGGGGAACCCUGAUGCAGCGACGCCGCGUGGGUGAAGAAGCGCCUCGGCGCGUAAAGCCCUGUCAGCAGGGAAGAAAAUGACGGUACCUGAAGAAUAAGACCCGCCUAACUACGUGCCAGCAGCCGCGGCAAUACGUAGGGGGCAAGCGUUGUCCGGAUUUACUGGGUGUAAAGGGGGCGCAGACGGCGAUGCAAGCCAGAAGUGAAAGCCCGGGGCCCAACCCCGGGACUGCUCUUGAAACUGCGUGGCUGGAGUGCAGGAGGGGCAGGCGGAAUUCCUGGUGUAGCGGUGAAAUGCGGAGAUAUCAGGAGGAACACCGGUGGCGAAGGCGGCCUGCUGGACUGCAACUGACGUUGAGGCCCGAAAGCGUGGGGAGCAAACAGGAUUAGAUACCCUAGUAGUC